Non-coding RNA from Lacerta agilis (Sand lizard), 74 nucleotides. Lineage: Eukaryota; Metazoa; Chordata; Lepidosauria; Squamata; Lacertidae. The record is from the annotation of a RefSeq genome assembly.
GCUGGGAUAGCUCAGUUGGUAGAGCAUGAGACUCCUAAUCUCAGGGUCAUGGGUUCAAGCCCCAUGUUGGGGCA